This 220-nucleotide non-coding RNA is filed under the name Salimicrobium flavidum. RNAcentral's name for it is "T-box sequence". It matches the Rfam family "T-box leader". From Rfam's summary of the family: Uncharged tRNA acts as the effector for transcription antitermination of genes in the T-box leader family. T-boxes are found upstream of many aminoacyl-tRNA synthetase genes and some amino acid biosynthetic genes usually in Gram-positive bacteria. The record is from RNAcentral. Lineage: Bacteria; Bacillati; Bacillota; Bacilli; Caryophanales; Bacillaceae.
GAAAAAGCGAAGAACGGUUGAAGUAGGAUCUGCUUAUCCUUUUACAGAGAGUCGAUGGCUGGUGGGAAUCGACAGGGAAUCAGAACCGAAUUACGCCCGGGAGCAUCUUCUGGUAUGAAUCAGGAGACGGUUGCACGUACAUACGCAGUCGUUAAUCAAAUGAAGUGGCACAUGUGUGCAACCAGGGUGGUACCGCGAUGAUAAAGACCUCGUCCCUUUU